This is a long non-coding RNA of Spodoptera frugiperda (fall armyworm), 1320 nucleotides long. RefSeq lists it as uncharacterized. The transcript is spliced from 3 exons. NCBI's taxonomy places the organism in Eukaryota, Metazoa, Arthropoda, Insecta, Lepidoptera, Noctuidae. The record is from RefSeq and is a predicted model, not a curated record.
UCGGGAACCUCGUCGACUACUAGCCCUCGGGAAGGCUCCGUCUUAUCAAAACUUUCUAUUUCCAUAAAAAAAUCUCUCUCUACAUUAUCAGUUACUUCUCAAAAAAUUAACGCGUUCGCGUAUUACUCAGUAUUUUUUUGUAAUCGGUGAAUAAGUGAGUUAAUAAUGGAGUCUGAGCGGCGAUUCGAUCUCUACGAGCAACAUGCGCUGGACCAGCUGAACAAGCGUAUUCUGAUUGACAUAAAAAGUCACAACUGGCUGACAGCGAAGAUAUUGAAUAAUGAUUAUAAACCCAAGGAACAAGAACUUGGCCGCCUCGUCCCCAUACAUCAAGCUCCGUUGCCAGUAAAUCACAGCACGAAAAUCAUGAAAAUUGCUUUCCUGAGGAUGGACACCAAUUACUAGGAGAAUAGAUAGUUAAUUACACAUUUUCUUUUCGUUAGAAAACUUCGUAUAAAAAAAAGGAUCUUGGUACGAACGCCGGUUGCUAUGCUGACUGUCUGGUACAUGAAGAAAACCAUCCAAAUCCUGGAACCAACUGGAUCUACUCCUACAUGGAGCAGACCCUACCGUCUGAAAAAACUACGUACUUUUAAACAAACAUAUUGCUACACAACCUGGGUACCAAGGGACACGUCAGCAUCAACAACAUCGCACACAUACUGCCUAGCUACAACGACGCCAGAAUGAUCACAUUCUGCAGGAGUUGCAGCUAUUCCGGCGAUCCUACCAAUAAUACUUUUUUAUUCAUAAUUGUAUAACAUUAGGACGCAUUAUUCUAAACUUUAGGACAAUAACGGUAGCUAAGGUAAGUUUUAAACAUCAUGUGUGCAACUGAAGUCAACACCUAAGGCUUACCGUCCACGUUGCGUCAUAUGACGAUUGCAUGCAUUCGUCAAAACCAAUAGGCGGAAUCAACGUUGCCCCGUCGUGGACAGUUUUCAUUGUUUCAUAGCAAGGUGCAAGCAUUUGUCUCUUGUUCGCCUAUUGUUUAUGAAGGAUGCAUGCAUUCGUCAAAUGACGCAGCGUGGACUACUGUCCACGCUGCCCGCACGCAGCCUGACAAGAUUUUGGGCCUGUUUCUUAAUCCCGCUAUGUACCAGAUCGAAUAAAGAACAUAAUUGGUAUAAACUAUAUCUCUCACAUAAUAAAAAAAGUGAAACAGGCACUUUAACUACAAAUCUACCGCGAAUUCAGAUGCAGUGCACAAGAGCCCUUCAAGAAACAGGUCCAAACUACAGUCGUCCAGGUAUACAGGUAAGAGAAUUUAGAUUCACUUUAUUAAUGAACAGAAGAAAAUUACAUCAUAGUGCAUCAUUU